This 587-nucleotide long non-coding RNA is filed under the name Homo sapiens (human). RNAcentral's name for it is "novel transcript". The record is from RNAcentral. Lineage: Eukaryota; Metazoa; Chordata; Mammalia; Primates; Hominidae.
AGUGGGAUGUCAGCCAUAGCAGAAAUCAGAGAGCCCUGGUGAAACUUAUUAGCAAACAUUGCUUGAGAGGCUUGUCUAGGCACGAGCAAUGAAAGGAAGAAAUAAAUAUUUCAUCUUUCCUUUCUGUCCAUGGGCAAAAUAUUCAAACUUCAGAAUGAGCAAUUGCGUAAAGCUGAGUCCUGGAAGGCUGCCUGUAGGGGGCAGUAUGUGGUCUGGCCUUAAGGACAAACGGAAUUUUCACCGGAGAAGACUGUGGCGGGGGCUUUUCAGGAGGAAUGAAUAGGAAGAGUACAGGAGGCUGUAUAGCAGCAGGUGGCUUUGUUUGGUUGGAAAACACUCCAAGUGAAAAGGCAUUGUGAAGAAUGGAAGAGCUACUGAGAAACCAGCCUAUGGAGUUUGGCUGUCUCUCCUAGUCACAAAUAAGGAGCUGUUACUGGUUUUUGUCAAAAGAACAGGAUGAUCACAUCUGUGCCUUAGGACACUUUAGAUGGGGCAGAACAGGUACAGGGGAUGUGGUGGGGGAAGAAAUGACUCGAUUUCAAACAAAUCAAAUAAAUUACUUUGAUGUUUAAAAAAAAAAAAUAAAA